AGUGAACGCUGGCGGCGUGCCUAACACAUGCAAGUCGAGCGGGGUUACUGCUGUAGCAAUACAGUGUGUGCCCAGCGGCAGACGGGUGAGUAACACGUAGACAACUUACCUCUUAGAGGGGGAUAGCCCGCCGAAAGGCGGGGUAAUACCGCGUAAGAUCAAGAUCUGGCAUCGGAUUUUGAUGAAACGUCCGCAAGGACGGCUGAGAGAAGGGUCUGCGGCCUANCAGCUAGUUGGUGAGGUAAUGGCUCACCAAGGCUACGACGGGUAUCCGACCUGAAAGGGUGACCGGACACACUGACACUGAGACACGGGUCAGACUCCUACGGGAGGCAGCAGUGAGGAAUUUUGGACAAUGGGGAAACCCUGAUCCAGCGACGCCGCGUGAAGGAUGAAGGUCUUCGGAUU
RNAcentral lists this ribosomal RNA (408 nucleotides) under uncultured bacterium. Its description in RNAcentral is "bacterial SSU rRNA". It matches the Rfam family "Bacterial small subunit ribosomal RNA", at positions 29 to 424 of the family's 1533-position model. The record is from RNAcentral.